UGGGGAAUCUUGGACAAUGGGCGCAAGCCUGAUCCAGCCAUGCCGCGUGGAUGAUGAAGGCCUUAGGGUUGUAAAAUCCUUUCGCCGAGGACGAUAAUGACGGUACUCGGAGAAGAAGCUCCGGCUAACUUCGUGCCAGCAGCCGCGGUAAUACGAAGGGGGCUAGCGUUGUUCGGAUUUACUGGGCGUAAAGCGCGUGUAGGCGGGUCGUUAAGUUGGGGGUGAAAUCCCGAGGCUCAACCUCGGAACUGCCUUCAAAACUGGCGACCUGGACCUAAGUAGAGGCAAGUGGAAUUGCGAGUGUAGAGGUGAAAUUCGUAGAUAUUCGCAGGAACACCAGUGGCGAAGGCGACUUGCUGGACUUAUGGUGACGCUGAGACGCGAAAGCGUGGGGAGCAAACAGGAUUAGAUACCCCAGUAGUCCCUGAGCGGGCUGGCAAGGCGCAU
This 447-nucleotide ribosomal RNA is filed under the name uncultured bacterium. RNAcentral's name for it is "bacterial SSU rRNA". It matches the Rfam family "Bacterial small subunit ribosomal RNA", at positions 355 to 825 of the family's 1533-position model. The record is from RNAcentral.